Sarcophilus harrisii (Tasmanian devil) is the source of this 664-nucleotide long non-coding RNA. RefSeq lists it as uncharacterized. The record is from RefSeq and is a predicted model, not a curated record. Lineage: Eukaryota; Metazoa; Chordata; Mammalia; Dasyuromorphia; Dasyuridae. The transcript has 2 exons.
UUCUCAAAAAAGCAUACUCAAUCUUUUCCUGGGACCAUAGCUGGGACCAACAUGGAAAAACUUACACUCUACUAAAAUCCCAGGAUCUUCUCUGUGUCAAAUAAUUUAACUACUUCAAUAGUAAUUUUUGGAGACAUCCUUAAAGGAGAACUCCUGCAUAUCCUCUUUCAUCAGCUUCCAAAUCCAAAACAAGAAUUUUGUCUUCUUAACCAGUGCAAACUGCGUACAAAUAGAUUCCCUGGGCAUAGUUCAACCAAAUAAAGAAGGCUGUGCCACAACCUCAGGACAAGAUGGAAGAUCUCUGACAUCUUUCCCUGGUUCUUGGCGUUUCACUGAUUCAUCUAAGGAUAGAGGAGUGAUCAAGAGUCAUAUGGGAGAAACUAUCCAGCAUCCUGGAAAAAACUGCUAAAUGGGAAAUCAGAAGACCAUACUUGAGUCUUCAAACACUUGCUAACAGAUUUCAUUUAUUUUGGUGACUCCACUGAUUCAGACUACUUUUAGAACUUCUCUAUAGCUAUUUGUGAAUGGAUGAGGUAGAAAAGAAAAUCGCCUAGAAGUAAACCCUUUAGGUCAUAGGGUUCUCAGAAUCAGCCUGGUCAUCACACCAUACUUAACCCUUACUCUGCUAGUUAAUCUUCUAGAAGCCAGCUUCAAGAUUCAAAUA